AACGACCGCUGGCGGCAGGCUUAACACAUGCAAGUCGAACGAACAUAGCAAUAUGUUAGUGGCAGACGGGUGAGUAACGCGUGGGAAUGUGCCCUAUGGUUUGGAAUAACUCAGGGAAACUUGAGCUAAUACCGGAUAAUCCCGAGAGGGGAAAGAUUUAUCGCCAUUGGAGCAGCCCGCGUCUGAUUAGCUAGUUGGUGAGGUAAUGGCUCACCAAGGCGACGAUCAGUAGCUGGUCUGAGAGGAUGAUCAGCCACACUGGGACUGAGACACGGCCCAGAAUCCUACGGGGAGCAGGCGUGGGGAAUAUUGGACAAUGGGGGCAACCCUGAUCCAGCCAUGCCGCGUGAGUGAUGAAGGCCUUAGGGUUGUAAAACUCUUUUAUCCGGGAAGAUAAUGACUGUACCGGAAGAAUAAGCCCCGGCUAACUUCGUGCCAGCAGCCGCCGUAA
This 451-nucleotide ribosomal RNA is filed under the name uncultured bacterium. Its description in RNAcentral is "partial 16S ribosomal RNA". It matches the Rfam family "Bacterial small subunit ribosomal RNA", at positions 29 to 523 of the family's 1533-position model. The record is from RNAcentral.